UUGGUUUUACUUUUUUUUUCC
This 21-nucleotide non-coding RNA is filed under the name Caenorhabditis elegans. The record is from RNAcentral. Lineage: Eukaryota; Metazoa; Nematoda; Chromadorea; Rhabditida; Rhabditidae.